GUCAGGGACGCCCACGGAUUGCAAGGAUAUCUUCAUCCACAACAAGGAGUACCCACUAAAAAAUAACAUAUCCAAGCAUUGCGAGUGUACAGUAGAAUACAAUACGUCAGAUGGCUUUCCGAAUGUGUCGUUUUCCCACAUCGAUCUUCCGAAUGGAAAGGACGAAACGCUUUACGUCACGGAUGGCACGUUGAAACGAAAUAAACACAAUUGUGCGGGCGACAACAUAAAUUGUCCAAUUUCGGUAGAAGUAAUGGAUUCGACGAAUGGUACUCUGAAGGUUGUUUCAGAGAAAAUUAGUGCGGAAGGCAAAUUUUGGAUAAAGGUUUCAGCGCAACGGGGAAUGAAGUUCACGUGUGGGGAAGUCCCAGCUUCAACUCGGACUGAAGUCUCAACGACAAGCGGACCCA
Lineus longissimus is the source of this 410-nucleotide long non-coding RNA. RefSeq lists it as uncharacterized. The transcript has 3 exons. The record is from RefSeq and is a predicted model, not a curated record. NCBI's taxonomy places the organism in Eukaryota, Metazoa, Nemertea, Pilidiophora, Heteronemertea, Lineidae.